GAUGAACGCUGGCGGCGUGCUUAACACAUGCAAGUCGAACGAUGAAGCCCAGCUUGCUGGGUGGAUUAGUGGCGAACGGGUGAGUAACACGUGAGUAACCUGCCCUUAACUCUGGGAUAAGCCUGGGAAACUGGGUCUAAUACCGGAUAGGAGCGCCUACCGCAUGGUGGGUGUUGGAAAGAUUUAUCGGUUUUGGAUGGACUCGCGGCCUAUCAGCUUGUUGGUGAGGUAAUGGCUCACCAAGGCGACGACGGGUAGCCGGCCUGAGAGGGUGACCGGCCACACUGGGACUGAGACACAGCCCAGACUCCUACGGGAGGCAGCAGUGGGGAAUAUUGCACAAUGGGCGAAAGCCUGAUGCAGCGACGCCGCGUGAGGGAUGACGGCCUUCGGGUUGUAAACCUCUUUCAGUAGGGAAGAAGCGAAAGUGACGGUACCUGCAGAAGAAGCACCGGCUAACUACGUG
RNAcentral lists this ribosomal RNA (466 nucleotides) under uncultured bacterium. RNAcentral describes it as "partial 16S ribosomal RNA". It matches the Rfam family "Bacterial small subunit ribosomal RNA", at positions 28 to 507 of the family's 1533-position model. The record is from RNAcentral.